RNAcentral lists this long non-coding RNA (306 nucleotides) under Carica papaya (papaya). RNAcentral describes it as "long non-coding RNA (CPAP_LNC002355)". Lineage: Eukaryota; Viridiplantae; Streptophyta; Magnoliopsida; Brassicales; Caricaceae. The record is from RNAcentral.
UUAUGAGCCACCCUCAUACCUCGUCUAGUAUAAGUGCCAAUUUACCAAACCUCAAUACCCCAUCCGGUAUGAGGGUGAAGUGGGUCAUCCCCAUACCCUGUCCGGUAUGAGUGCCAAAUUAUCAAGUCUUCAUAUCCCGUCCUGUAUGAGACAACAUUCACGGUAGGGUUCUUUAUGUCCCCAAUUCGUCCACCAUCUCCCAAGAUAUCCAGUAAGGCUGUCAUUUCAUCUAUUCAUUUCAUCACACAGUUUUUACUGUUUAACAUUCAUUUUUCCAAAUUCAGCAGUAAACAAAUAGAAUAAACC